RNAcentral lists this ribosomal RNA (19 nucleotides) under Pectinia alcicornis. RNAcentral describes it as "partial 28S ribosomal RNA". The record is from RNAcentral. Lineage: Eukaryota; Metazoa; Cnidaria; Anthozoa; Scleractinia; Merulinidae. RNAcentral also lists the same sequence under 2 other names.
GACCUCAGAUCAGGCAAGG